This 74-nucleotide transfer RNA is filed under the name Oscillibacter sp. RNAcentral's name for it is "tRNA-Gly". It matches the Rfam family "tRNA". Rfam says of the family: Transfer RNA (tRNA) molecules are approximately 80 nucleotides in length. Lineage: Bacteria; Bacillati; Bacillota; Clostridia; Eubacteriales; Oscillospiraceae. The record is from RNAcentral.
GCAGGGUUAGUACAUCGGUAGUACCCGUGCUUCCCAAGCAUGUGAGGCGGGUUCGACUCCCGUACCCUGCUCCA